AUUAUUGUGAAUAUUUGAUUUCGUGGUUUUGUCAAUCAUUUCUUACAAAGCCUAUAGAAAAUAUUGUACGUUUGAAUUCCUGGUUGACCUAUACUCACAAAAUCUACUAAUAAUUUAACAGUGGCACAUUCGUCAGUCGACUCCUAAAAGAAGUCAUUGUCCUGAGGGUCAAGUUACAGUAAAAUUUGCUAUGUCACAGAUUUUGGUAUUUUUUUUGCAUAUAGUUUUGGCAC
Molecule: long non-coding RNA, 233 nt
Filed under: Mytilus galloprovincialis (Mediterranean mussel)
Lineage: Eukaryota; Metazoa; Mollusca; Bivalvia; Mytilida; Mytilidae
Source: RNAcentral